GGUCCCGUAGCUCAGCUGGAUAGAGCAGCUGCCUUCUAAGCAGUAGGUCGGGGGUUCGAAUCCUCCCGGGGCCGCCA
Molecule: transfer RNA, 77 nt
Filed under: Neotabrizicola shimadae
Lineage: Bacteria; Pseudomonadati; Pseudomonadota; Alphaproteobacteria; Rhodobacterales; Paracoccaceae
Description: Rhodobacter sp. N10 tRNA-Arg
Rfam family: tRNA
About the family: Transfer RNA (tRNA) molecules are approximately 80 nucleotides in length. Their secondary structure includes four short double-helical elements and three loops (D, anti-codon, and T loops).
Source: RNAcentral